Molecule: ribosomal RNA, 254 nt
Filed under: uncultured bacterium
Lineage: Bacteria
Description: partial 16S ribosomal RNA
Rfam family: Bacterial small subunit ribosomal RNA
Source: RNAcentral
UACGGGGGGAGCAAGCGUUGUUCGGAUUUACUGGGCGUAAAGGGCGCGUAGGCGGUCGUGACAAGUCACUUGUGAAAUCUCCGGGCUUAACUCGGAACGGUCAAGUGAUACUGUCGGACUAGAGUACAGAAGGGGCAACUGGAAUUCUCGGUGUAGCGGUGAAAUGCGUAGAUAUCAAGAGGAACACCUGCGGCGAAGGCGGUUCUCUGGGCAUUACCUGACGCUGAGGAGCGAAAGUGUGGGGAGCGAACAGG